GAUGAAGAACGCAGCGAAAUGCGAUAAGUAAUGUGAAUUGCAGAAUUCAGUGAAUCAUCGAAUCUUUGAACGCACAUUGCGCCCCUUGGUAUUCCGGGGGGCAUGCCUGUUCGAGCGUCAUUUCAACCCUCAAGCUCUGCUUGGUAUUGGGCUCCGUCCUCAGGGACGCGCCUCAAAGACCUCGGCGGUGGCGUCUUGCCUCAAGCGUAGUAGAAAACACCUCGCUUUGGAGUGCUGGGCGUCGCCCGCCGGACGAACCUUUGAAUUUUUCUCAAGGUUGACCUCGGAUCAGGUAGGGAUACCCGCUGAACUUAAGCAUAUCAAUAAGCGGAGA
Molecule: unclassified non-coding RNA, 334 nt
Filed under: soil metagenome
Description: partial contains 5.8S ribosomal RNA, internal transcribed spacer 2, and large subunit ribosomal RNA
Rfam family: 5.8S ribosomal RNA (bases 1-120)
Source: RNAcentral